AGAGGUAUGGAGUAUUGUUUGGGUAGCGGUAAAAUGUUAUAAUCCUUACAAGACUAACUAAUGCGAAGGCACCAUACUGGAACGGAUCUGACAGUGAGGAACGAGAGCUAGGGUAGCGAACCGGAUUAGAUACCCGGGUAGUCCUAGCCGUAAACGCUGUGGGUUACGCUUUGCCAAAUUCAUGAGAUUUGGCAGGGGGGUAGCGAAGGCAUUAAACCCGCCACCUGGGAAGUACAGCCGCAAGGCCGAAACUUAAAGGAAUUGCCGGGGGAGUACUACAAGGGGUGCGGCGUGCGGUUUAAUUGGAUUGUACACCGAGAAACUUACCAGAAGCGACAGCCGGAUGAAGGUCAGAUUAAAGGUUUUACCUAACACGCUGAGAGGUGCUGCAUGGCCGCCGUCAGCUCGUGCUGUAAGGUGUCCUCUUAAGUGAGGAAACGAGCAAGACCUAUGUUUACAAUUGCAAACCAUGUUUAUUGGUGCACAUUGUAGAGACUGCCUUGGAAACAAGGAGGAAGGUGUAGGCUACGGUAGGUCUGUAUAGCCUGAAUCUUCUGGGCUACACGCGCGCAACAAUGGUUAAGACAAAGAGUUGCCACUCCGAAAGGGGGAGCUAAUCUCCAAACUUAACCCUAGUUUAGAUCUUGUUUUUAACUCAACCUCGUGACAUCGGAAUCCCUAGAACCGGAGUAU
Molecule: ribosomal RNA, 693 nt
Filed under: uncultured archaeon
Lineage: Archaea
Description: bacterial SSU rRNA
Rfam family: Archaeal small subunit ribosomal RNA
Source: RNAcentral